Molecule: long non-coding RNA, 3707 nt
Organism: Panonychus citri (citrus red mite)
Lineage: Eukaryota; Metazoa; Arthropoda; Arachnida; Trombidiformes; Tetranychidae
Exons: 8
Source: RefSeq, a predicted model, not a curated record
AAAGAAAUAAAAAUAAUAACGGAAAAAGAAAAACAGAGAAAAAUUUAGAAAAAUUUAGAAACAAAGAAAAUAAAAGUAAAUCGAAUUUGUUUUUUAUUCUUUUUCGUUGCUUAGCAACCAAACGAACGUCAGGUGAUCGGGUUGACUCAUUUUCUCUUUUCACUUAUUUUGUUAAUUACUUUUUCUAUUUUUUCCCUCUGGUUAAUUGUUACUAUUUAUCUUUUUGUUUUCAUUUUCUCUUUUGACUUGAGACUUUUUUUCUUUUUCUUCUUCUUCUUUCGUUUUCAUGGUGAAGUGAUUAAGGAACAUUUUCCAUUGUUAAUUUUGUGCGAAAAUUGUGUGGGAAUUGGUUAGUUGCGAGUCAAUCACAAUUUCCAUCAUCACAAAUGAUAUCAUCAACCUACGGUUCUUAUCUGUUAAUUUUUCGCAUCAAUUGUGAGAGAACCUGAAAUUAGCUUAAUUUCUACAAUGUAAUCAUGGAUACCAGGAAAUCAAAGGAACCUUAAUUGUUGAGAAUUUCUCCUCAAUUCAUAGUCUUUCGCCCGCUCUUUCUCAUUUCAAGUGAAAUGGAUAAUCUUUCUUGUACAAAUGGCCAUGUUUAAUUUCAAUUCAAAUCCGUCAACCACAUCACAAUAAUCUGAAUGGUGUUUAACCUUGUUUAUCGUAAAAACGACAACUAAUUGUUAACAAUCAAAGUAAAUCGACUUGAGAAAAGAAAAGAUAUUAACCGGUAAACAUGAUGAAAAUUUUUUUUUCUUCUACAAACAUUUUAUCCAAUUGUUUACAUCAACCAGAACAUUAAUCAUCAUCAUCAUCAUCAUCAUGUUGGAACAAUUUGUUAUUUAUCAGUUUAAACUUUUCUCUCUCUCUCUCACACACACACUUUUGAUUAAUCAACCUUGCGCUUUGUAUUUCAUAAGUAUGAGGUUGAUCUCGUUCAUUUCAAUGAUAAAUAGUUAAUCAAAAGAUUUCUCAAUCAAAUUCUGUUAUUUGAUCAUCUUUAAGUCUCACUUAUUAUCUGAGGACGAGCAACAAAUGAAAAGAUAUUAAAAACCAAUGUUGACAAUUUAAAUUGGAGAAUCCAACUAACUAAUCUGAUCUAAAUAAUUUGGAUCUCAGUUCCAUGAUUAAUUAUCGUACAUAAUUAUCAGAACAUAUCAAAUUUUAUCUACCCUUUUUGAAACUUGAUUUGGAAAGUGAAAGUCAUUUUAAGGAUUUGAUUUCUUUCUUUGAUUAUUCUUCUUCUUGAUUUCGAUUAAUAUGUAAUCGUGGGAAGUGAAACAAGGUGUAUAUAUAUAUAUGCGUGUGUGUAUAUUUGUUGAUUACACACUUAUUGAUUUUAUCGAUUGUAAUACUAACCAUUUCCAGAGACACAAGGACAAGCGUCAACAUAAAGGUCACCCUUAAUUUGCGCCAAAGUACAACGUUCACCUCUUUGAGCUCGAUUUUGACAACUUCGAAUUCCCGAUUCACGAUUUAAUAAGCAACAUCCUGAUUCACAAUCAUUACUGUAUGAACAAAUAUCACCCAAUCCACGAUGAGUCUAAAUUAAUGGUAUAAAAAAAAAGAGCAAACGAAAAACAAUUUAGUAAAUUGUCCAUCAGCAAUAAUCAUGUUCCAUUAAACCAGAAUAACAAUAGAGUCUGAAUUUUAAAUUUGGACUUAAAAUUGGAACCUUAAUUACAUCGAUUAUGAUAUUAAGGUAAACAGAGAAUAAAAGUGAAAAGUGACAAAAGAAAGAUCAAUUUGGGAAACAAAUAUCAGCCAAUUCUCAUCAUCAUCAUCAUCAUCAUCAUCAUCAACAAUAUCACGGAAACGGUUUUAAUUCUAAUUGUAAAGAUGAUUACAAUUCAAUAAGUCAUUCAACAAGGAAAUAUCGUUCAUCUUGUUAAACCACAAACUGACCAUCAGCUUUAACCAUCUUGUCUCAUCAUCAUUCAAACACAAUAGCUUCUGUACAACCUUAAAGUAGGCCAUCAUCAUCAUCAUCAUCAUCAUCUUUCUAAUUGAUGAUGAUUAUGAUUAAAUGAUGAUGUGGUUUACUCUAAAUUAAUAUCAAGCUAAUAAGCGAUGAUAAUCAACCUAAAUGUUAAAGUAAUCAAAGGUGUGUCAUCCAUAGGAUGUUGCAUCAUAUCUGGAUCUGACCAAUCGAUACCAUCAUUGGAGGGAAUAUAAUAAGAUUUUUUGUAUAAAUAUCUCAAAGGUUUCUUAUUGAAUUGGUUCUUGGGCUCAGUUCGUUGGGCUCGAUGACCAUCCCAAUAACUUUGAAUCAAUGGAAGCGUAACCAAAACCAGGAGAACAAGGAUUAAUUGAUAUUGAUAUUAAUUCUUACAGAGGAUUAACUUUUCGGUGGACAGGUAACUGGUCAAGGUGAUUCGGAUUCUAAAUUGUUUAUAGUUCAAAGUUAUAUAACCAAUAACAAUUAUAAUAAUUUCUGGACAAAGUAAUCGAUCAUCUGAAUCCAUUUUUUUUAUCAAUUACGAUGGUCAGUUGAUACAAUUUUUCCGAUUGCUCGUCAGCCAUUCAAAUGAAUAUUUGGAUUCAAUAUAAUCACGAUGAUUACUAAAUGAUCUUCAAAUUUAACCACCUUAAUUGAUUAACUGAGAAAGCAGAACAAAAAAAAUCACUGUUAUAAAAAGGAUGGUGAUUAAAUUAUCACUCAAUGGUGGUGAUUGUCGAUACGCUUGUAACCUUGUAUAAUCUGUUGGCUACCAAAUCGUUGAUUGAUUGUUGUGACCAUGUUAUUGCACUCGUCCGACCUGAAGAGACCAUCAUUUAUCAUCUAUUAUUAAAUCAAUUGAAUCAAUUGUGUUUAAAUUGAUAAACGAUUGAUUGAACAUCGGCCUUUGAUACCGGGAUAUAAAUAUUGGUAUUGGUCAUUACAAUGACCCUUUAGAUGGAUAUUUACAAUCAAUAAGGUGAUGCUAAUGGUUAAUUAUCUUUUAAAAUGUUUUCCAAAAAGAUGAUGGUGAUGAUGAUUUCACCAGAAUAAAAAACGAUAAACACUCAGGUGAAAAUGGCGAGAAACAAAAAAUUCUAAUUGACCUUUAAUCGUAUCGUGGUCAUCGUUACAUUUUUCCCUUUAGAUUAACUUUGAUGGUAUUAUAACAAUCAAACAUCAUUUUACCUGAAUGAUGAUCAGAAACAGUUCAUGAAAAUUUAAUUUAUUGUUUUCUUUUUAAUCUUAUAUUUCUUUUUCAACAAUCAACACAAUUAAGGAACUGUUGAUGAAUCCAGUUGAUUAAUGGGUAACAGAUUAAUCAUUUCAAAUUAUUGGAAUCAAAUUAGUUUUCUUAUUCGCUUAAAGCAACUAAUUACUUUCGAUUAGCAAAUACAAAUAUCAAGGUGCUAAAUUGUCGACGUUUUUUCAGGGUGACAAUUAAUCAACAAUCUAAAUUAUUCAUUAAAACACCAAGAAAAAUCAAUCUCGGUCAAUCGGUCUCAUCAUUUCCAGUUAGUUAAUUGUCGAGGUCAGUUUUUUAUAAAUCAAUCAUCUGGACGCGUUAAUCAUUAUCAUAUUUAUGCCAAUCAAAUGAUUUUGCUUUAAGAUGAAGGUUAAUCUUGUUGGUGGAAGAGCAAUUUUUGGUUGAUUGUUGGAUUGUUAAUCACGGGAAACACCAGGAAAAGGAAAUCAAACUUAAUCAGAUUUGUGAACAAUUAAGUGUGAAACAAUCAACAAGGGAAAAUAAACUACAAUCAUAAUCAAA